Molecule: ribosomal RNA, 971 nt
Filed under: uncultured archaeon
Lineage: Archaea
Description: bacterial SSU rRNA
Rfam family: Archaeal small subunit ribosomal RNA
Source: RNAcentral
RCGAAUUYUAAGCCAUGCAAGUCAGGGGGGUAGCAAUACCACCGGCGACAUGCUCAGUAACACGUCGUUAAUCUGCCCUUAAGACUGGAAUAAACCUUGGGAAACUGAGGCUAAUGCCGGAUAGAAUAUUAUUGCUGGAAUGCAUUUUAUUUGAAARGUAACACUUAAGGAUGAGUCGGCGCCGGAUUAGGUUGUUGGUGGGGUAACGGCCCACCAAGCCAAAGAUCCGUACGGGCCAUGAGAGUGGUAGCCCGGAGAAGGACACUGAGAAACUGGUCCUAGCCCCUACGGGGUGCAGCAGGCGCGAAAAACUUUACAAUGCACGAAAGUGUGAUAAGGGAAUCCUAAGUGCUAAUACACAGUAUUGGCUUUUGCCAAGGGUAAAUACCUUGGAGAAUAAGUGGUGGGUAAGACUGGUGCCAGCAGCCGCGGUAACCCCAGCGCCACGAGUGGGAACCACAAUUAUUUGGCCUAAAGCGUCCGUAGCUGGCUUUGUAAAUCUUUUGUGAAAUCGGAAAGCUUAACUUUCCGGCGUGCAGAAGACACUGCAUUGCUUGAGACCGGGAGGGGUAAGGAGUAUUUCCAGGGAACCGGUAAAAUGGGAUAAUCCUGGAAGGACUACCUGUGGCGAAGGCGCCUUACCAGAACGGGUCUGACAGUGAGGGGACGAAGGCUAGGGGAGCGAACCGGAUUAGAUACCCGAGUAGUCCUAGCAGUAAACUCUGCGGGCUAGGUGUUGCAUCAUCCAUGUGAUUAUGCAGUGUCGUAGCGAAGGCAAUAAGCCCGCCGCCUGGGAAGUAUGGUCGCAAGACUGAAACUUAAAGGAAUUGGCGGGGGAGCACCACAAGGGGUGCGGCGUGCGGUUUAWUCCAACUCAACGCGGUGGAAUCUUCACCAGAAGCGACGGCAGUAUGAAGCUCAGUCUAAAGGGCUUAGCUAACGAGCCGGRGAGGUGGGUGCAUGGCCAAUCU